GGGCCCGUAGUAUACCGGUAGAACGGCUCAAUGGCAUUGAGCAGGAAGGGGUUCAAUUCCCCUCGGGUCCACCA
This 74-nucleotide transfer RNA is filed under the name Candidatus Amesiibacteriota bacterium. Its description in RNAcentral is "Candidatus Amesbacteria bacterium (hot springs metagenome) tRNA-Ala". It matches the Rfam family "tRNA". Rfam says of the family: Transfer RNA (tRNA) molecules are approximately 80 nucleotides in length. Their secondary structure includes four short double-helical elements and three loops (D, anti-codon, and T loops). Further hydrogen bonds mediate the characteristic L-shaped molecular structure. tRNAs have two regions of fundamental functional importance: the anti-codon, which is responsible for specific mRNA codon recognition, and the 3' end, to which the tRNAs corresponding amino acid is attached (by aminoacyl-tRNA synthetases). tRNAs cope with the degeneracy of the genetic code in two manners: having more than one tRNA (with a specific anti-codon) for a particular amino acid; and 'wobble' base-pairing, i.e. permitting non-standard base-pairing at the 3rd anti-codon position. Lineage: Bacteria; Candidatus Amesiibacteriota. The record is from RNAcentral.